This is a long non-coding RNA of Brienomyrus brachyistius, 295 nucleotides long. RefSeq lists it as uncharacterized. The record is from RefSeq and is a predicted model, not a curated record. The transcript has 3 exons. NCBI's taxonomy places the organism in Eukaryota, Metazoa, Chordata, Actinopteri, Osteoglossiformes, Mormyridae.
UGUCAUUGAUGUUCGUUGGCGUGAGUAGAUGUUCCCCGUAUCUGUUUCCUGUCCACGAAUAAAUCCCCAGUAUUUCCCGACUUUGCCUACUUGCCUGUUCCUGCUCGCCUGCCGACCCGCACGAUCGCUGCUUCGCCCGACCGCGGUCGUGACACAGAUGAAAAGAACAGUGAUAUAUCAAAAGUGGAAUGGUCACGCAAGCAAUGCAAUGACGAGGACACACUGAAUUACGCUGCCCUGAACCUUAAGAAGCCAAAACCCAGGAGACAGAAGAAAGACAGGAAUAAUGACACUC